Molecule: long non-coding RNA, 1525 nt
Filed under: Strigops habroptila (Kakapo)
Lineage: Eukaryota; Metazoa; Chordata; Aves; Psittaciformes; Psittacidae
Description: lncRNA (ENSSHBG00005010377.1)
Source: RNAcentral
CCGCCCCGGGGCGCGGGGCGGCGAGGGGAGGAGGAGGAGGAGGAGGAGGGUAGUUUGCCGGGGCAGAGAGGGAUGGGCCUGCGGGCUCCGGGUUGGCUCCUGGGAGCGGCGCCGCUCUGCUUUUCAAGAUCGUGAAUAGAUCAACAGGAAUGUGUGAGACCAGUCCCUUCAGUUGGAUAUCACCUUUCCAGGAGUGGAUCUGGAGGACAUACUGGUGGUUUUGUGUGGGCAGGUGAGAUGUUGCCUACCAAACUAGUCAUGACAAACAGAGGGAGAAGUUGGAAAUCUGUCUGAAGAUGCCUCAAAGCAAUGCAUAUUCCUAUACCUAAUUUUAAUUUGCUUGCUAACCAAGGAGGACAAAGUCAUUGCUACUACUUGGACACUGUUGGUUUUUUUCUUCAGUCUUUCUAUCAAAUGUCAGUAUUCCUUCUCUUUUUUGAUGUGGGGAAAUCACACAAGAAUCUACAUGGAAAUGCAACCUGGCAAAAUGGAAAUAUGAGGCUUCAUAAAUAAUCCCAGUUUGUUCUAUUGUUUUUAUCUGCUGAAUAUGCUCAGAGAAGUUGUGUAAUUGAAUGUGGCAUGUGUAAAAUCAAAGGUCUAAGAAAAAAAUCGAGAUGACUGUCAAAAGCUUUUUGCUGUUGUAGUAGAAGACUAGAAAAAAAUGAGUUUCUUUCAUUAGCAUCUCAUCGUCAAUAGUGUUGAACAGCCCGAUUACGGCAGCCAGAUAGAUAGAAAAUAAAUGUUUACAUCUUGCCAUGGCCUCUCUGAGAGAAUGCUGGUAAGAACUCAUUACACUGACUCUUGUGAGAGCAAAACCAUCAAACUUAGGAAUUCUUUCUUAGGUUUUUUUGUGUAUUUUGGUUCCUCCUUGCAGUUUAGAAUUUGGUCAGGCAACUGGCCCAUGUAUUUUUAGAACUGGUUCUGAAAUUUGUUUAUCCUAUUCUGAUCAUUAUCUUUGUCCUGCCUUUUUUUACUGUAGUUUAUGACUUAUUCCAUUUUAAUUUUGGUUUUUUUUUUGGUAAAUCUUUUCCUGUAGUAUGAAAAUAAUAUUAGUGCAUUUAUUGUGCCUUCUGUGAACAACUCAUUUCUAUUUGACUCCUCGCAAAGUGACUGCAGUCACGGAAGUAGAGUUUGUCAGCCACAAUAAGGUUCUUUUGAGACAGAUAAACAACCGGGAGUUGAAAGCUUAUCUGUUAUGAAAAUGAUUUGUCUCAUGUUAUGAGUCACCUGGGAGUUUGAAUAUGGCAGAGUGACUGGUAGUGUAAGGUCAAUCCCUGUAUGAAAUUCAGUGCCAACCAGAAAAUGCCUGAAACAUGUGCAAGUCUGGUUUAACUGCUUUUUCUGUUUCUGUUCAGUGCUGCCCUGUGCUCUGUUUUGAAGAGUGUUGUUAAGGCAUAUGCUACUCAAUACUUUCCAACUUGAAAAUACACAAAGUUUGUAGUGUGAGGAAUCAGCUGAAAUUGUGCUGGAGGAUUUUUAUUUUAAUUUUUUAUUUAUAUAUUUAUUAAAUUCAGAACUGGCAUAA